Non-coding RNA from Mycobacterium shimoidei, 104 nucleotides. The record is from Rfam. NCBI's taxonomy places the organism in Bacteria, Bacillati, Actinomycetota, Actinomycetes, Mycobacteriales, Mycobacteriaceae.
CUGUGCCCGUGCAUGGUGGCCUCUGCCCGAACCGACCCUGACGUACUUCCCCAACGCCAGGUUCGCGCUCUCGGACAGGGACCUCGAUGCGCGGGCGAUCGCAA